Molecule: long non-coding RNA, 138 nt
Organism: Cervus elaphus (red deer)
Lineage: Eukaryota; Metazoa; Chordata; Mammalia; Artiodactyla; Cervidae
Exons: 3
Source: RefSeq, a predicted model, not a curated record
ACAUAAGAGACUGGGGCUCCAUCUCUGGCUCAGGAAGAUCCCCUGGAGGAAGGCAUGGCAACCCACUCCAGUAUCCUUGCCUGGAGAACCCCAUGGACAGAGGAGCCUGGUGGGCUACAGUCCACAGGGUUGCACAGU